GGAGGCCUAGCGGCGCGGCUCGCGCAGAGCGGCGGGAGUGCGCUCGGAGGCCCCGCCUUCUUCGGCUAGUCGCGCCAGCUUUACGGCGGGCUGGUAAGGUGGUGAACGUUAUCGGCGAGCUUCGGCGCCCAAGAACGAGGCUUAGAGUGUUUUUCAGUUUCCUGUGAGACCCCGCGCAACCGCAGAUGCACCCGUCGUAGCCAAACACCUAGGUUUAAUGCAAUGCUUGAGGCCUACCCAAUGUCCAAAAACAUUUUUUAAAAUGGCUUCUGUUCUUAGCCUGGUGUGUAUGCUUUAGGACCCGUAGACGAGUUCUAGAAGAUUUUCAUGAGUAUCUUGCCAUUUUCUCAUCGAAAAUUGUUGGCACAUGGAUGACUGUGAUCAAGUUACCGUAAAACAAAAUCUCAAGCCAAAAAGUAACAUAGGAAAUAAUACAGACUGGAUCAUUUGAUCAGAUUUUACUCAGUUCCAAAUUCAGAAGGCUAUAGGAUUAUCUUUCCAGACUCCAAAUGGCAACUUUUAAAUGAGAAUCUUGAAAUCUGUAGAAGUCCAGUAUAUUCUGAUGUAAUUGCAUAUUAAAAUGAGCAGCAGUAAGAGACAUACCUACUGGACAAAAAAGACCCAAUGAAAAUUAAAAGACAAAACACAUAAAACAACUGGAUUUUUUUGUGAAAAAAUUAUUUUGGGAAAGGAAGAUGACAUCUGAAAAGUGAUAGAACUUUUCCAGAGCCAUUUGAAGCUACACAGUGUUUUUCACAUUUGAAUAGACUGCAUCAACAUGAAUUCUUUAUAAGGACCUUAAAAACAAACUUUGCCAAGUCCCAGAAUACAGAAGUGAAUUCACAUCUUGAUACUCAGCUGCCUCAUGAAUAAAGGAGAGCUUGUGCCUGACACUUUGAAGCUGUAGCUGUUAAACCAUACAGAAUAUUUACCUCAAUAAAUCAUUAUAAGAAACUAAGGUACAAUUAUACCCACAGAGAAAAAGAAUUCAAAACACUGAUUUAUGUGUUUCAGUGCCUAUUCCCUUUCCACC
Long non-coding RNA from Chinchilla lanigera (long-tailed chinchilla), 1033 nucleotides. RefSeq lists it as uncharacterized. The transcript is spliced from 5 exons. NCBI's taxonomy places the organism in Eukaryota, Metazoa, Chordata, Mammalia, Rodentia, Chinchillidae. The record is from RefSeq and is a predicted model, not a curated record.